Molecule: ribosomal RNA, 428 nt
Filed under: uncultured Acinetobacter sp.
Lineage: Bacteria; Pseudomonadati; Pseudomonadota; Gammaproteobacteria; Moraxellales; Moraxellaceae
Description: bacterial SSU rRNA
Rfam family: Bacterial small subunit ribosomal RNA
Source: RNAcentral
AGUGGGGAAUAUUGGACAAUGGGCGAAAGCCUGAUCCAGCCAUGCCGCGUGUGUGAAGAAGGCCUUUUGGUUGUAAAGCACUUUAAGCGAGGAGGAGGCUACUUGGAUUAAUACUCUAGGAUAGUGGACGUUACUCGCAGAAUAAGCACCGGCUAACUCUGUGCCAGCAGCCGCGGUAAUACAGAGGGUGCGAGCGUUAAUCGGAUUUACUGGGCGUAAAGCGUGCGUAGGCGGCUUUUUAAGUCGGAUGUGAAAUCCCUGAGCUUAACUUAGGAAUUGCAUUCGAUACUGGGAAGCUAGAGUAUGGGAGAGGAUGGUAGAAUUCCAGGUGUAGCGGUGAAAUGCGUAGAGAUCUGGAGGAAUACCGAUGGCGAAGGCAGCCAUCUGGCCUAAUACUGACGCUGAGGUACGAAAGCAUGGGGAGCAAA